RNAcentral lists this long non-coding RNA (940 nucleotides) under Sarcophilus harrisii (Tasmanian devil). RNAcentral describes it as "lncRNA (ENSSHAG00000024826.1)". Lineage: Eukaryota; Metazoa; Chordata; Mammalia; Dasyuromorphia; Dasyuridae. The record is from RNAcentral.
GACAUUUUGCUUUUCAUUCUCAUUUAGCCCAGAAGGUUGAUAUGGAGGCAAAUGCAGCUUCUCCAAAGCCCAAUUUUUCUGAAGUUGGAUCCCAGGGAAUAAUCUCGGAAAGACGGGCCAGGCGCGUCCUCUGGGCCCACGGAUGUGGGGACAUCGGCGCCACAUUAGAGAGUCAGGAAAGAGAUCCAGUAGGAAAGAUGGACAGCUUGCACGGAAUCCAGACUUUGGGCAACGGAGGCGGGGCUUUGUAAGUUUGGAGCCACAACCCGGGGGGUGCCGGAGGCCCAGAACACGGUCCUGUUAUUAACGCCAGUGGCUCUGGGAGCUCCUCAGGGUUCAGCUCAUUCUUCUCAUCUGACAGAUGAGGAAGCUUCAUCAGGUCAAUCCCACAACUCUGAAGCUGGACCUGGGGCCCCUGACUUCAGACACCUCCAUAUCCCUGCCAUCCCUGCACCUGACUAGUAGAGAAUGACCAAAGAUUGCUGAGGAGCAGGGAGAGACAGGGUUCAAACUGGAUGUGGCUGAGAGUGGCGGGAUGGUCUGAAAUGAACGGAUCAGAGAAUGAACGAAGUUGGGAAGAUCUGGUUGGAAGAGGCAGUCUGACGAGAUUGGGAUAGAGGGCACAGAACGUCAGUGUAGGGGGAAUCUGCAAAUAAUCUGUGUGUGGCCUGCAGCUGCCCUCCAUUGCUCCUGCCUCCAAGGGGAGAUCAGCCUUUCCGUUAGGCCCUUCCCAUUCACCUCACACCCCAUCUGCUCCCUGGGGCAGACUCAGAUACUUGGAGACAACCACGACAUCACUCCCAAGUCCCCCUAGACCAAAUGCCCCUAGUUCCCUCAGCCACAAAGUCCCUAGUUUUUAGCCCACCUGCCAUCCUUGAGACUCUUCUUUUUAUUUAUUUAUUUAUUUUUUAUUUAAUAGCCUUUUAUUUACAGGUUAUAU